Molecule: unclassified non-coding RNA, 229 nt
Filed under: soil metagenome
Description: partial internal transcribed spacer 1
Source: RNAcentral
CCGAAAUUUAAAACUCACAACGCGAGUCUCGUGCGGAAGCAAAUAUGACUGCCGAGACUUUGUGACUCUUCAAGUCUUCCUUUGCUCAAGUCAAACCACACUCGUGAAGCACAUGUGACGAGUCUGUGGUGAGCAUCGGGAGCACUGCGUUUCCUUCGGAAUUCACAGUCUAAAAAACGAAUUGUAAAAGUAUAUCACAUUAAGUAUAUAACAAAAAAGACGAAAAAAU